RNAcentral lists this ribosomal RNA (650 nucleotides) under uncultured bacterium. Its description in RNAcentral is "bacterial SSU rRNA". It matches the Rfam family "Bacterial small subunit ribosomal RNA", at positions 223 to 863 of the family's 1533-position model. The record is from RNAcentral.
GGAUGGGUCCGCAUCUGAUUAGCUAGUUGGUGGGGUAACGGCCUACCAAGGCUUCGAUCAGUAGCCGGCCUGAGAGGGUGGCCGGCCACACUGGGACUGAGACACGGCCCAGACUCCUACGGGAGGCAGCAGUGGGGAAUCUUCCGCAAUGGGCGAAAGCCUGACGGAGCAACGCCGCGUGAAUGAAGAAGGCCUUCGGGUCGUAAAGUUCUGUCUUUGGAGACGAACAUUCUAUAUGUAAAUAAUGUAUAGAACUGACGGUAUCCAAGGAGGAAGCUCCGGCUAACUACGUGCCAGCAGCCGCGGUAAUACGUAGGGAGCGAGCGUUGUCCGGAAUUACUGGGCGUAAAGGGCGCGUAGGCGGGUAUUUAAGUCAGAUGUGAAAACUCCGGGCUCAACCUGGAGACUGCAUUUGAAACUGAGUAUCUUGAGGGCAGGAGAGGAAAGUGGAAUUCCUAGUGUAGCGGUGAAAUGCGUAGACAUUAGGAGGAACACCAGUGGCGAAGGCGACUUUCUGGACUGUACCUGACGCUGAGGCGCGAAAGCGUGGGGAGCGAACGGGAUUAGAUACCCCGGUAGUCCACGCCGUAAACGAUGAAUACUAGGUGUAGGAGGUAUCGACCCCUUCUGUGCCGCAGUUAACACAAUAA